CCCAUCGCUGGUGGCUCCGGCUCCCACGGCGGUGGCAUCCCGCCGCACGCCUCUCGGCCCCCCUCACUGGCGGCCCCAGCCCCGGCGACACACGGAGAGCGAAAAGGAUGGGUCUCCGGCGCACCACCAGAUCCCUCGCGCUCCACCUACCUUUGUCGCCACCAUCCCUGUUCUUAUCUCCCAUUGAACCUUGCAGUCGGUCGGUCGCUCCGCCUACUCAGGUACGCAUGCACACCUCCUCCAUCUGCCGCUCCCGUUCGUUUAGCAACUAGCUCCGUCUCCACCUUUAUAUACUUGGACUCCCCUGCAACUCUGCAGAAGUAAUAUUUUAAGAGAGGCUGAAUAAUCAAAGACCCUCUUCUGGUCCAAACAUAGAGCAUAAAGAAGAUAGCAAUCUGGAUAGUAUACAUACUGAUAGUAAAAAAAGACUUAUAUAACACCAUCCAUUACUUUUUUUGUAUACAUUCAUAUAUAACUACUUGGUUUGGGUAAAAUAACUGAAUUUGGCACACUACACUAAAGAAACACAGAUUCUGAACUAAAUAAUUAUUUUAUUUUUUAAGUGAAGGUUCAAUGCCUAUUGGGAUAACGAUGGUGGAUAGAUUCAGGAAGGGACGGUGUAUUGUUUUGGGUGAUUUUAUUUCUUUGGUUGGCUGUCUGUUUUGUGCGGUUGCUGCAAAAUUUUCUCUAUAUAGCAUUGUAGCUAUUGAAUACUUGUCUUAUGCAGCAGCAGCGACAGCGGUGUAACAAGCACAGAUUAGGCUUGAAUUAUGUAUUUUUUGUAUUUAGGUAUUAAGAAGUAGCUAUCUCAAAUAUCUCUGAACUCAAGUGACUGUCCCGUUCUCUGACCAUACAAGAAUUGGCAGAUUUUUGGAAGUGUUUCUGACCUACUGAAGUAUGCAAAGAGGGAACCUUCCCAUGGGAGAUCAACUUCUAUGUUGUCCAGCAUAAUAGAGAAGUCAUUAGCUGCUUCUUCUGUACUUAAUUUCUUAUAAGCAGCGACAAGAAAACUUCUUCUGAUGUCAUUAGCUCUGCAUAGAGACUAAAGGAAUCCUCACCAUGUCGAGGACACAAGCAAAUUACCAGAAAACAAUCCUCAAGUUUUGAAUUGUGAUGUGAAAACACCGUCAAAAGUGGUUAAUGAAUUGUCACCCACUUUUACUCCUGCAGAUCCGUCAAAAGGCUCAAGUAUAAGCUUGUUAAAAACUUCUGGUGCGAGAGAAUUGUUGAAGCUAGAUCCUGAAAUGCACUACCAAAUCAGCUAAGAAAUGAUUACAUAGGAAGGAAGGAUAUGGCCCAUGUUAGUAUUUUAUUAAGCCAUAAUUUGUAUGAUGAUGUUGUCAAGCUUUAGAAGAAGGAAGGAUAUGGUCCAUGUUAGUAUUUUCUCCAUCUGGCACACGAGCACCUUACAAACAUAUCCAAAUCUCAGCAUGGCCGUAGUGAGAUUGGUCGUGGCCAUGGUUUGGAUUUAGCCUGUUUCUCUGCUUUAGCCUCUGUGGUCAUGGUUUGGAUUCCUGCAGAGAUUAUACUUAUUAGUUAUGUAUGGUUGGAUGAUGUGUAUAGUGUAUUAUCCUUAUUAGUUCUUGCUUUUUCAAUUCUUUGAUGUGCCAUCAUAAUUAAGUAUUCUGCAAUUUAUAGUUAUGUACUGCUCCUGUUGAAAUAUUAUUCAGUUCACCAAUGUGUGGUCACAUUUUUCAGGGAUUUGGACACCUUUCAUUAAUUACAUACCCUUGCUGCUAAUAUGCUUGUUGAUUGGUCUCUAGAAAUAAUCUAAAUCAUUUAAAGAAGCCCAAGCAGCAGGAUUCAUCGAAGAGAGUGGGACUCUGGGUGAUAUAUGGGAGACUGUGUCAAGCAGUGAUCUUGUUUUGCUACUGAUAUCUAAUUCUGCUCAGGUCCGCUUCAUUGAUCUAGAUAUAUGCUUAGAAGCUUUGCACUUUGAAUUGAUCAACACUUUGUGUUUUCAACUAUUAUUGUUUUGAUUGUGUUGCUUUGAAGUGAGACCGAUUAUUAUGUUUAGAACUUUUCCUUAUGACUAACACAAUUCUUAUCAACUUUUUAUGCUACUCGUUAAGGGCUUUAAGAAUGAGCUUUAGAUUGCAAAAA
Molecule: long non-coding RNA, 2103 nt
Organism: Zea mays
Lineage: Eukaryota; Viridiplantae; Streptophyta; Magnoliopsida; Poales; Poaceae
Exons: 2
Source: RefSeq, a predicted model, not a curated record